Molecule: small nuclear RNA, 104 nt
Organism: Myotis lucifugus (little brown bat)
Lineage: Eukaryota; Metazoa; Chordata; Mammalia; Chiroptera; Vespertilionidae
Source: Ensembl
GCACUCACUUCGACAGCACGUGAAUUAAAUUGGAAAGACAGAGAAGAUUAGCAUGGCCCCUACACAAGGAUGACAUGCAAAUUCAUGAAGUUUUCACACACAAA